AUCCAACUGACGAGUCACAAAUAGGACGAAACGCGUGUCCUGGAU
RNAcentral lists this non-coding RNA (45 nucleotides) under Schistosoma margrebowiei. The record is from RNAcentral. Lineage: Eukaryota; Metazoa; Platyhelminthes; Trematoda; Strigeidida; Schistosomatidae.